This 1257-nucleotide long non-coding RNA is filed under the name Strigops habroptila (Kakapo). Its description in RNAcentral is "lncRNA (ENSSHBG00005015562.1)". The record is from RNAcentral. Lineage: Eukaryota; Metazoa; Chordata; Aves; Psittaciformes; Psittacidae.
UUCAGUGGAAACAGUAAACUUGAUUUAUUGAAAAAAUCUAUUACAUUUAUUCCUUUAUUACACAGGUUUAAAAUAUUUUAAAAUAGCUCUUAUGGGCAUUACACUUAAAUUUUAUGACAUGUUUAUUGGACUUUGAAGAAAUGUACAAUAUGUCACUCGACACUAUAGUUUAAAAAGGGCCUUAUGUACUAGAAUUUGUUUUUCCAUAGGCUUUAUUUUUCUUAUCAACAUUUGUUCAAGUCAAUAUAUAUUAAGGGAGGAGGGAAAUAAAAUUACACAAAAAGAAUGUCUGCAAAUACAAGUAGUAAUUUUAUUGCAAUAUACCGUAGCUAAGUGGUCUGGGGGAAUCGGAACAGUUGGGAGCUCAGUACAAUUACAACACUGUGGAAUUCGACAGAGGAAUUUUUUUUUUUUCUUUUCUUAAAGCAAUGAAAUAAAAGGAAAAAAAUAAAAGAAAAAAGCUCCCUUGAUGAAAAUUUAUGACAGAAUCACAUGACCUGGGCAGGCGCACACGUGUGUACAUACAUCAAGAUAUGGCUUUUCUGUUGCAGAGAGGAGUGUGCAACCUUUCCUGACCUUCCCACUGCUCCUGAACAAGGCUGUUGCCAAGGUGACUGAGAAGCUGAAUUCUCCUAUAUAUUAUUAUCAUAUUCUCCUUUUCACUGCUUUGCUGCCGGAGUCUGCAGGGUUUAGGGUAGCACCUUAUGUAUUUUUUGUCCCCCGAGUGGAAAAACAAUAAUGCAAGAGAACAGAGCAGGAGAAGGGAGAGGGAUGGACAUGGCUCUCCCAGGCCAACAAGCACCGCGCGGCGUCGCCGCUGCCCCCAGCACAGCUUCGCCUCCCUUCCUUGGCUGCUGCUGCUCUCUGCUUGGGAAGGAGGGGGGAGAAGACAUCAGAUAUAGGCCUUUCUUCACAGUAAAUGUGAUGUCUUUUCCUUUAUGGUGAAAGCCCCCCUUUGGCUCAAGCGCUGCUGGAAUACUCCAGGCCAAAUAAUUAAAAAAGCACCCUGCAACAUCUAUUUUCCAGCUGAGAGAUCUAACCAAGGAAAACGGGCAGGGGGAAGACACACGGACGAACACAUGGAAAAAGAAGAUGGUGUCACCAGGUUGCAAGCCGAAAACGCUGCAUGGGAAAAGAAAAACCCCAUCCUGGCGUUGCCACCGUGGGAAGACCAAGAGAACUGCAGACUCCUGGGAGCGCGGCGGGUGGCAUCCCACCCGGCUUCAGCAUCGCAUCAGGACAGCCAGCAACUACAUA